Molecule: long non-coding RNA, 656 nt
Organism: Esox lucius (northern pike)
Lineage: Eukaryota; Metazoa; Chordata; Actinopteri; Esociformes; Esocidae
Source: Ensembl
CAAGUACACACCCAUUUUACUUGUCUGGUGGUGAACCCUACGAAGCCAGUUGCUGCUCAACCCGUUUUUCCUGGAAGAGCUUUUCAAUGGAAGUAGUGAUUGUCCUUGACGCGGUGAACAAUGCCAGCUUAUUCUUCCUCUGGGAGGAACAAUAAGCAAUUGAUGUCUCCAAGAAAGACGAUGGCUGGAGGGUGUCUCAAGUCUUAAGAAUCAGGACUGAGAGGGCUUUCCAGAGUCGCCGACUAAUGGGGCCGAGAGAAAGAGAGAAGACAGAAGAAAUAGCAGGCUGUGUUUCUGGGGAUGCUAGGUCGUCUGUGGACGUGCCACAGGUAGUGAGCCUGCCGAUGUUCUUUGGUGGGGAAAUUCUGCUCGGUAACCCGUCGUCACAGCAGAGGCCCUGCGCAGUGAUUGGAGGAGAGCCUUUGCCUGGAGGGAGGCUCGUUCUAUGACUGUGUGUUGUGCAGAAUGGCAUCCCUGAACACAUGACACGUCAAACCUUGAAAAGCAUGGAGGCGAACAUUUCCUGAUACCAAAGAGGCAUACCUAAAGACGUGUCCAGUGAGGAUUUAAUCUGCCUUCCGGAGUUACACAAUUGGACUGACAAUGAUCCCAACCAUGUACCAAAUAUUAACAAUAAAACAUUUUCUCUCAUCCAA